This is a long non-coding RNA of Pantherophis guttatus, 3769 nucleotides long. RefSeq lists it as uncharacterized. Lineage: Eukaryota; Metazoa; Chordata; Lepidosauria; Squamata; Colubridae. The record is from RefSeq and is a predicted model, not a curated record.
GGUCGUCCGGAUAGUUCGAAAUUUCACUCAACUUCUCCCUCGAGAGGCGUAAAAAGUACAACCGCCCGCAUUCCCAGCUGCCCGACCAGGGUUUUCUACCUUACAAAGUUGACUUUGCAUCGCCUUCUUGGAAUUCCCAUUUUUGAACGCCCCAAACCCAGACAUUACUCAAAUAAUAACAAGGAUUUCCUUCUUUGAUGCCAUGGCUUGGGGUCGUCUGGAGUUUUCCAAGUCAAAUGGACUUUCCCAGGUUUACUGUUGGUUCGUCCGGUUUAAUGUUUGUUGUCACACAGGACAAAAAAACAUAGAUCUGAUGGAAUUAAGCUGCAGAGGAAUAAAAACAAGCUCAUGAUAAGUGUUCCCUGGGACACUUAUUUUUUUCUGCAUACUUCGUCUACUGUCUAAGAAAUGAAUCUGCAGUUGGUAAAAUAUCAUGCUUACUACCUCCUGUUCAGGGGUGGGAUUCAGCUGGUUCGGACCAACUGGAUGCUAAUUUUACAUCUGGUUCGCCGAACUGGUAGUUACAAGGACUGGAUGGUCCCGCCCACCCCUCCCCUCAGGAGUCUCCACACAACCCAUUUUGGAUGCCAGGUUCAGCUAUCUUUCUCUUUUUGUUAAACGUUAUUUUGUCUGAGAGUGUUAAUACUGCUGGCCUCGUUUCCUGUGAGAGUGAUAACUGAUCUGUAAUGGAUUCUAAAAAAAGAACAAGACUGGGAACAUUCAUUUAUAUGAGCAACCUAAUUGGGGUUGGCAGAGACUUGUUGCUGUCUGAAUUCUCAACAUUGCGAGACAUUUUAAGAUAUGGCCGACUGUUAAAAGAACAAAGUAGUGAUAAUGCUAGAAACUAUCCAGCAACCAGUCUAGCAAGAGACAUAUAUCCAAAAGUGCUUGAAAAGUGGGAAUGAGCGAACAGUUCUUUUGUUACUCCUGUUGUAAAUUCAUGGUGACAAUCUUGAAAAAGAUCCAAGAGAGCUGGGAUCAAAAACAUAUCUCUUGGUAGAGGAAAGCUAGAUGUCAAAGAGAUUUUCACUGUGUAACUUGACAAACUGUUUGACUUCCACAACUGCAAGUGUCAAAUUGUUCUUUGUGCCAAAUUCGGCUGCCCUGCUGGCUGCAAAAAAGAAGCUCACAUUAACUGUACCUGCCCUGAGAAGACAAAGAUACCAUUGAAGGAACUUGCUUUCGUUAAAGGUCGGAGAGACAAGAAUGGUUCUUUUGGAUCGCACCAGAUUGAUUUGCCAGAUGUGCCCGAGCAGAAACAACUAGUCAAAAGGCAAAAGUGAUAAGACAAUGAGAGACAAAGGCUCGCUAAAUAUAAGCAGAGAAAUAUUCCAGACAUUUCAAUACUGACAAAUGAAAUAAUUAUCUCUUACGAUGAAAAUGGAGGACAGACAAUAGAUGAUGAGGAUGAAGAGGAAUGUGAUGGAAGUUAUGAAGAUGCUUUAGACCAAACACACGUGCCGUCUACUUCAAAAGAAAAGACAAAAUGCAAUAGAUUAGAAAUAACAAAAGUCACUAUGCAGAGUAGAGCAUAAGAUACAGUGUUGGUCUAUGUGCCACACCCGCCUUCAUAGAUGCUGGUUUGAUUACCAAAGAAGACAAGAGACUUGUAGUUGACAACAAUAAAGUCAAGAGAGCCCAGGAAAAAAUUCUGAAGUCCCUAGAUCAAGAAUUUGAUAGACUCUGUAAGAAGGGCAAAAUAGAAUGCAUCUUCUUUGACGGACAUAUGGUUGCAACUAAAGCAGGGGUGAAAUUCAACAGGUUCUGACAGGUUCUGGAGAACCGUUAGCGGAAAUUUUGAGUAGUUUGGAGAACCGGCAAAUACCACCUCUGGCUGGCUCCAGAGUGGGGUGGGAAUGGAGAUUUUGCAAUAUCUUUCCCCCAGAAGUGGGGAGGGGAUGGGGAUUUUGCAGUAUCCUUCCCCUGGAGCGGGGAAGGAAUGGAGAUUUUGCAGUAUCCUUCCCCUGCCAUGCCCACCAAGCCAUGCCUACCAAGCCACACCAAGCCCACCUAGCCAUGCCCACAGAACCGGUAGUAAAAAAAUUUGGAUUUCACCACUGAACUAAAGUUAUGCUGAAAGCAAACAAUUCAGAGCAGCAAUUCCCCAGUACCAUCAAAGAAUAUUAUUCUGUGUGCAGUGAGCCAGGUGGAAGAUAUCUUUAUCAUUUCACUCCAGAGAAUGGCUCAGAAACAGGAAAACCUGUUAAAGUGAUUGCAGAUAAUCUGGUGUAUUUCAUGAAGAAGAAAUUCAUUGGAGGCCAUUGGAGGAGAUUCUACAAAUGUUAAUACUGGUUGUGAAAGUGGUGCCAUACACUGGAUAGAGGUCAAGCUUGACCGGACAUUGAUCUGGUUGGUGUGUACACUCUACAUGAAUGAGUUACCCCAGAACACUUAAUCACAAAAUUGUAUGGGAAGACCUUGUCUAACAACAAUUGGGCAUGUAAAAUUGGCAACAUGCUAGACACUGUAACAGGACUUGACAUUGAUCCUUCAUUCACCAGAGUUUCAAAUGGUGAGCCUCUCAUUUCACUGAGCGACAGUGUUGUAAAGGCUCUCUCUACUGAUCAAACGUAUGGAUAUAGGAUCACGCAGGCAAUAAGAACAGGAGAACUUCCCACAAAACUGGCUGUUCUGGAAAUUGGCCCCAUAAGCCAUUCAUGCAUUGAUAACUGCAAAUAAACUUUGUUAAAUAUAGGUUUCAAAACAUGGCUUUGGAAUACAUUGUUGGUGUGUACUACCCUUGUUGGUUCAACAUCAAAGUAAAAUAUUACUGGAUUGAAGUCCUGUGUCAUGUGUUAUUCCAGCUGCAAUAAGUCAGACUGCAAAAGAAGGCUGUAGUACAUACUGUUUUGCCAACCAUUCAGUAUGGUAUGCUUUCAGUGAAAUGAUAAUCCAGACACUCUUGUGUUCAGAUGAAAUUCAAGAGAGGAGAGCUGGUGUGCAAAAGAUCAUUGAGUUGAGCAGUGCGGAUGAUGACGCACUGGGAGAUUUUUCUGUACGUGCAAGAAAAAAGCCUUCAAUCAAUGCCAGAGCAUCCACUCUGGUGGAGCUGAUUGACUGGUCUGAAGGUUUAUAUGAGCCACCUUUGAUGUGCAAACUGACUACAGCAGAAAUAAAGAAGUUCAUUGAUGAACCAAUGUAAGUACCACAGUGGCCCUGUCAUACCCAAUCAAUAGAGAGAUGUGUAAAACAGAUCACAGAGGCAGGAAGCAGAGUAUAUACAUGAGAAAUGUGAAGGUUAUAUCAAAGGCCAAGAAGUAAGUCAGUGACUGAUAUCAAAGAACGAUUCAAAACAAAACUUUAUGAAACUCAGAUAAUUACUUUCUGAUGUUAAUUUAUCAUUGAAUGGAUUAUUUUUUGCUUAGCUAGAUAAGAUUCAUGCAGAAAAAAACUUUAUUUUUUGUAGCACAAGGUGUAAUUUUGAGAAGAUAAAGUUAACAGUAUUUGCAUUAUAAGAGACUUUUAUGGGUUAUAUGAUCAGGUGUGGAUUUACUAUACCAACCUAAACAUUGUACAAUUGCAAAAAUAACACCAGGUUUGAAUUCUUUGUGUAAAAACACAUAUUUUUAGAAUCCCUCACUGAAAAAAAUUGCAAAAAUUAAUUUUCACCGUAUUAAAUGACACACCCUAAAAGCACACUACCAUAUCAGGUCCUUCAGAUCGGAUUCUAAACUGCACUGUUGUUAUGAGGGCAAGUCUGCUUCUAUUCCAUUCAGUUGAGAUAUUCCGAGAAUAUUCUGGACGCAUCUGCAUUACAAGGAAAAAGAUU